RNAcentral lists this ribosomal RNA (529 nucleotides) under Enterococcus faecium. Its description in RNAcentral is "partial 23S ribosomal RNA". It matches the Rfam family "Bacterial large subunit ribosomal RNA", at positions 894 to 1419 of the family's 2925-position model. Lineage: Bacteria; Bacillati; Bacillota; Bacilli; Lactobacillales; Enterococcaceae. The record is from RNAcentral.
CUCCGGGGGUAGAGCACUGUUUCGGCAAGGGGGUCAUCCCGACUUACCAACCCGAUGCAAACUGCGAAUACCGGAGAAUGUUAUCACGGGAGACACACGGCGGGUGCUAACGUCCGUCGUGAAGAGGGAAACAACCCAGACCGCCAGCUAAGGUCCCAAAGUCAUGGUUAAGUGGGAAACGAUGUGGGAAGGCCCAGACAGCCAGGAUGUUGGCUUAGAAGCAGCCAUCAUUUAAAGAAAGCGUAAUAGCUCACUGGUCGAGUCGGCCUGCGCGGAAGAUGUAACGGGGCUAAACCAUGCACCGAAGCUGCGGCAGCGACGCUUAUGCGUUGUUGGGUAGGGGAGCGUUCUGUAAGCCUGCGAAGGUGUGCUGUGAGGCAUGCUGGAGGUAUCAGAAGUGCGAAUGCUGACAUAAGUAACGAUAAAGCGGGUGAAAAGCCCGCUCGCCGGAAGACCAAGGGUUCCUGUCCAACGUUAAUCGGGGCAGGGUGAGUCGACCCCUAAGGCGAGGCCGAAAGGCGUAGUCGAU